This 449-nucleotide ribosomal RNA is filed under the name uncultured bacterium. RNAcentral describes it as "partial 16S ribosomal RNA". It matches the Rfam family "Bacterial small subunit ribosomal RNA", at positions 29 to 523 of the family's 1533-position model. The record is from RNAcentral.
AACGAACGCUGGCGGCAUGCCUAACACAUGCAAGUCGAACGAGAUCUUCGGGUCUAGUGGCGCACGGGUGCGUAACGCGUGGGAAUCUGCCCUUUGGUUCGGAAUAACAGUUGGAAACGACUGCUAAUACCGGAUGAUGACGAAAGUCCAAAGAUUUAUCGCCAGAGGAUGAGCCCGCGUAGGAUUAGCUAGUUGGUGUGGUAAAGGCGCACCAAGGCGACGAUCCUUAGCUGGUCUGAGAGGAUGAUCAGCCACACUGGGUCUGAGACACGGCCCAGACUCCUACGGGAGGCAGCAGUGGGGAAUAUUGGACAAUGGGCGAAAGCUUGAUCCAGCAAUGCCGCGUGAGUGAUGAAGGCCUUAGGGUUGUAAAGCUCUUUUACCCGGGAUGAUAAUGACAGUACCGGGAGAAUAAGCUCCGGCUAACUCCGUGCCAGCCGCCGCAGUAA